Molecule: long non-coding RNA, 909 nt
Organism: Oncorhynchus keta (chum salmon)
Lineage: Eukaryota; Metazoa; Chordata; Actinopteri; Salmoniformes; Salmonidae
Exons: 4
Source: RefSeq, a predicted model, not a curated record
AAAACAUGAGACAGGCUGUACAGACAGAAUAACACAGCGAAGACAAGAUUAUUGACAAAUAAAUACUAAGUAAAUAAAUAAGUGCAAACAAACACAAUGGAAUAGGCCAUGAAACAAAGGUCCAUUAUGUUAUGGAACAAAGGUCCAUUAUGUUAUGGAACAAAGGUCCAUUAUGUUAUGGAACAAAGGUCCAUUAUGUUAUGGAAUAAAGGUCCAUUAUGUUAUGGAACAAAGGUCCAUUAUGUUAUGGAACAAAGGUCCAUUAUGUUAUGGAACAAAGGUCCAUUAUGUUAUGGAACAAAGGUCCAUUAUGUUAUGGAACAAAGGUCCAUUAUGUUAUGGAACAAAGGUCCAUUAUGUUAUGGAACAAAGGUCCAUUAUGUUAUGAAACAAAGGUCCAUUAUGUUAUGAAACAAAGGUCCAUUAUGUUAUGAAACAAAGGUCCAUUAUGUUAUGGAACAAAGGUCCAUUAUGUUAUGAAACAAAGGUCCAUUAUGUUAUGGAACAAAGGUCCAUUAUGUUAUGAAACAAAGGUCCAUUAUGUUAUGAAACAAAGGUCCAUUAUGUUAUGAAACAAAGGUCCAUUAUGUUAUGAAACAAAGGUCCAUUAUGUUAUGGAACAAAGGUCCACUAUGUUAUGAAACAAAGGUCCAUUAUGUUAUGAAACAAAGGUCCAUUAUGUUAUGAAACAAAGGUCCAUUAUGUUAUGGAACAAAGGUCCAUUAUGUUAUGAAACAAAGGUCCAUUAUGUUAUGAAACAAAGGUCCAUUAUGUUAUGGAACAAAGGUCCAUUAUGUUAUGGAACAUAGAGACACAUUCACAAUAUGGCAACAACGCAACUCAACAAUGACAACCACACACUAUAUUUGUAUAUUAUCAUUACGUCAAAAACUAAACGUUUGAAAACAU